CAUGCAAGUCGAACGACCCCUUCGGGGGGAGUGGCAGACGGGUGAGUAACGCGUAGCAAUCUGCCCAUCACUACGGAACAACGUCGAGAAAUUGGCGCUAAUACCGUAUACGUCCUCCGGGAGAAAGAUUUAUCGGUGAUGGAUGAGGCUGCGUUAGAUUAGCUAGUUGGUGAGGUAAAAGCUCACCAAGGCGACGAUCUAUAGCGGGUCUGAGAGGAUGAUCCGCCACACUGGGACUGAGACACGGCCCAGACUCCUACGGGAGGCAGCAGUGGGGAAUAUUGGACAAUGGGCGAAAGCCUGAUCCAGCCAUGCCGCGUGAAUGAUGAAGGCCUUAGGGUUGUAAAAUUCUUUCGCUAGUGACGAUAAUGACGGUAGCUAGUAAAGAAGCCCCGGCUAACUCCGUGCCAGCAGCCGCGGUAAUACGGAGGGGGCUAGCGUUGUUCGGAAUUACUGGGCGUAAAGCGUGCGUAGGCGGAUUGAUAAGUUAGAGGUGAAAUCCCGGGGCUCAACCCCGGAACUGCCUUUAAAACUGUCAGUCUAGAGUUCUGGAGGGGUAAGGGGAAUUCCUAGUGUAGAGGUGAAAUUCGUAGAUAUUAGGAGGAACACCAGAGGCGAAGGCGCCUUACUGGACAGACACUGACGCUGAGGCACGAAAGUGUGGGUAGCAAACAGGAUUAGAUACCCUGGUAGUCCACACCGUAAACGAUGAGAGCUAGUUGUUUGCAGGCAUGCCUGUAAGUGACGCAGCUAACGCAUUAAGCUCUCCGCCUGGGGAGUACGGCCGCAAGGUUAAAACUCAAAGAAAUUGACGGGGGCCCGCACAAGCGGUGGAGCAUGUGGUUUAAUUCGAAG
This 855-nucleotide ribosomal RNA is filed under the name uncultured bacterium. RNAcentral describes it as "bacterial SSU rRNA". It matches the Rfam family "Bacterial small subunit ribosomal RNA", at positions 54 to 956 of the family's 1533-position model. The record is from RNAcentral.